Molecule: ribosomal RNA, 1501 nt
Filed under: metagenome
Description: bacterial SSU rRNA
Rfam family: Bacterial small subunit ribosomal RNA
Source: RNAcentral
AGAGUUUGAUCCUGGCUCAGGACGAACGCUAGCGGCGCGCUUAACACAUGCAAGUCGAACGUGAAGGGGAUCCCGCAAGGGAGCCCUUAGUAGCGUGGCGGACGGGUGAGUAACGCGUAGAUAACCUACCCUCGAGUGGGGGACAAGCCCGGGAAACUGGGUCUAAUACCGCAUGUGGUCUUUGGGGCUAUACUCUGAAGAUCAAAGCUGAAAGGCGCUCGGGGAUGGGUCUGCGUCCUAUUAGCUUGUUGGUGGGGUAACGGCCUACCAAGGCGACGAUGGGUAGCUGGUCUGAGAGGACGACCAGCCACACUGGGACUGAGAUACGGCCCAGACUCCUACGGGAGGCAGCAGUGAGGAAUAUUGCGCAAUGGACGAAAGUCUGACGCAGCGACGCCGCGUGAGUGACGAAGCCCUUAGGGGUGUAAAGCUCUUUUGUUGGGGACGAAUGCCUACUAUGGUAGGAGCGACGGUACCCAGCGAAUAAGGACCGGCUAACUCCGUGCCAGCAGCCGCGGUGAUACGGGGGGUCCAAGCGUUGUCCGGAUUUACUGGGCGUAAAGGGCGCGUAGGCGGGAUGGUAAGUCGGUGGUGAAAUGUGCGGGCUUAACCUGCAGAUUGCCUUCGAUACUGCCGUUCUUGAGUGAAGAAGGGGAAAGCGGAAUACCUGGUGUAGCGGUGGAAUGCGCAGAUACCAGGUAGAACACCGGUGGCGAAGGCGGCUUUCUGGUCUUACACUGACGCUGAGGCGCGAAAGCGUGGGGAGCAAACAGGAUUAGAUACCCUGGUAGUCCACGCUGUAAACGAUGUGCACUAGAUGUCGGGGGAAUCGACCCCUCCGGUGUCGCAGCUAACGCAUUAAGUGCACCGCCUGGGGAGUACGAUCGCAAGGUUGAAACUCAAAGGAAUUGACGGGGGCCCGCACAAGCGGUGGAGUAUGUGGUUUAAUUCGAUUCAACGCGAAGAACCUUACCUGGCCUGGAAUUGCAGCUGCUCAUCUCUUGAAAGGGAGACUCCUUCGAGGGUGCUGCAGAGGUGCUGCAUGGCUGUCGUCAGCUCGUGUCGUGAGAUGCUAGGUUAAGUCCUGCAACGAGCGCAACCCUUACCGUUAGUUGCCAUCAGGUCGCAAGAUGCUGGGAACUCUAACGGGACUGCCCGGGUUAACCGGGAGGAAGGUGGGGAUGACGUCAAGUCCUCAUGGCCCUUACGGCCAGGGCUACACACGUACUACAAUGGACGGUACAGAGGGCUGCAAAACCGCGAGGUUGAGCCAAUCCCACAAAGCCGUCCCCAGUUCAGAUUGCAGUCUGCAACUCGACUGCAUGAAGGUGGAAUCGCUAGUAAUCGCCGAUCAGCACGCGGCGGUGAAUACGUUCCCGGGCCUUGUACACACCGCCCGUCACACCAUGGGAGCCGGUAGCACCCGAAGUCGCCACGCUAACCGCAAGGAGGCAGGCGCCGAAGGUGAGAUCGGUGACUGGGGUGAAGUCGUAACAAGGUA